RNAcentral lists this ribosomal RNA (424 nucleotides) under uncultured bacterium. RNAcentral's name for it is "bacterial SSU rRNA". It matches the Rfam family "Bacterial small subunit ribosomal RNA", at positions 917 to 1344 of the family's 1533-position model. The record is from RNAcentral.
GGGCCCGCACAAGCGGUGGAGUAUGUGGUUUAAUUCGAUGAUACGCGAGGAACCUUACCAGGGCUUAAAUGUAGUCUGACAGGGGUGGAAACACCCCCUUCUUCGGACAGACUGCAAGGUGCUGCAUGGUUGUCGUCAGCUCGUGCCGUGAGGUGUCAGGUUAAGUCCUAUAACGAGCGCAACCCCUGUCGUUAGUUGCCAGCAUGUAAAGAUGGGAACUCUAACGAGACUGCCGGUGCAAACCGCGAGGAAGGUGGGGAUGACGUCAAAUCAUCACGGCCCUUACGUCCUGGGCCACACACGUGCUACAAUGGCAGGUACAAUGGGCAGCCACGCCGCAAGGCGGAGCGAAUCCACAAAACCUGUCUCAGUUCGGAUCGGGGUCUGCAACUCGACCCCGUGAAGCUGGAAUCGCUAGUAAUCG